Ornithodoros turicata is the source of this 1437-nucleotide long non-coding RNA. RefSeq lists it as uncharacterized. Lineage: Eukaryota; Metazoa; Arthropoda; Arachnida; Ixodida; Argasidae. The record is from RefSeq and is a predicted model, not a curated record. The transcript is spliced from 5 exons.
AUGAUAUGUCGUCCGGACCAGGAGAAAACCGGGCUCGAGAGAGAUGAAGGGGGUUCAUAAGUUCAGCCAGCGAGAAGUCCAUAUCCAUGGCGGGAUCACUGACUGGAGCGGCAUCUGCAACUUGCGCAGUUAUAGAAGAUGCGUAGCACCGGAACGCCGUAGUCGACAUUGCUCGUGACCCAGCUGUUAUAAGGUGGUAAAAAGAGAGAGCAACGUCUUUUUCACUUUUGUGCUGCGCCAAAGCAAGGGCGCCCAAUGGGUUACGCGAGGGAGGUGCAUCCUUGAGGGACCGCAGCACACGCCACACUUUUACAGGACUGACAAACGGCGUAAGCGUUGCACAAAAUUUCCUCCAUCGCUGCCGAUCCAGCGCCGCUAAGGCCUCCAACACGGCAACACGGCGUCCAACACGGCAACACAGGGGCGGCAAACCAAGUUAAGGUCGCCCUCCAUGUACAAGUAGACCGGACCAAGUAAUCAAGUUAGGUUUAGUUAUUUGAAGGCUGUCAUGCUUAACGGGCCGUUGCCAGAAAUUCUUGGUAGAUCAAGCAAUGCAAACUGGGUCACUCGAGCAGAGUAGUGAGUGAGGAUGGCACCUCGGUGGAGCAUUGAAGAACAUAAUAAUGUCUGGUCCAAUUGAUAAUGAGGCUAGUUCCAGUGCAAGAGCUUUGCCGCCGACUCACAGGCCCGCGAAAAGUGUACCUAGCUUGACCGAGAGCACACCGGAAAGAACGUUUAAGAUGUGUGUACGAGUCGUUGAAAUUGGCGUCAGAGGCGUGUGGAUCUGCGUCAGCACCUAUGGCGUCAGCAUCGCUGGUCUAUGGAGGAACCGAGAGUGUGCCCAUAGCGGCUAAUCCUGCUUAUAGCACGAGACGCUCAAGCCGUGGGAUUUCGGAUUACGUGGGCGCCUAUCCUCCUGACAAAUCUCGUUAUGACCGGCGAGUCGUCCUCACUCGAUCUUUCUUUCUUUCAUGUUUUGUCUGUCACCCUUCGCAGGUAACGCUUCCAAGGCUUCCCAAUGUUCUUAAAAGCGCAAGAAUCGCAGACGUACCGGAUGCCAGCUUCCUGUGGAAGGUUUUAUCAAGACAGAACCAGUUGUCUGCCACAGUUGUCGUCUGGGAAACGAAACAGUGAGGAGCAUCAAUCAACCAUGAAGGUCACCUUGGUCUUUCUCGUGUUCGUCCUCGUUGCCUUGGGUGAAGCCGUUGCCCGGCUCAAGUAUGAUCGCAGUUCUAAACGCGGAUACGUGCCACGUUUUUCUCCCUUCUACUACCCGAGACGUCUUGUGAGGAGCGCUAAUCCCGCAGACCUGUGCUACGGUCGACGUUCCUUUUUGUGUCGAUAGGCGGCACAAUUUAGAUAUACCUUGGACGAACGUCGCCUGUCCUGGUCGCAAGUCACAGCAAACGUCAAGGCACACGUGACCUUAAGAGGGCC